Molecule: ribosomal RNA, 586 nt
Filed under: uncultured bacterium
Lineage: Bacteria
Description: bacterial SSU rRNA
Rfam family: Bacterial small subunit ribosomal RNA
Source: RNAcentral
CCUACGGGAGGCAGCAGUGGGGAAUCUUGCGCAAUGGGCGAAAGCCUGACGCAGCAACGCCGCGUGAGCGAAGAAGGCCUUCGGGUUGUAAAGCUCUGUCAGGAGGGACGAAGCCACUCGGGUGAAUAGCCCAGAGGGUGACGGUACCUCCAAAGGAAGCCCCGGCUAACUACGUGCCAGCAGCCGCGGUAAUACGUAGGGGGCGAGCGUUGUCCGGAAUCAUUGGGCGUAAAGCGCGUGUAGGCGGCUCGGCAAGUCCGGUGUGAAAGCUCGAGGCUCAACCUCGAGUCUGCAUCGGAAACUGCCCUGCUAGAGUCCGGAAGAGGAGACUGGAAUUCCUGGUGUAGCGGUGAAAUGCGCAGAUAUCAGGAAGAACACCGGUGGCGAAGGCGGGUCUCUGGGACGGUACUGACGCUGAGACGCGAAAGCGUGGGGAGCAAACAGGAUUAGAUACCCUGGUAGUCCACGCCGUAAACGAUGGGCACUAGGUGUGGGAGGUGUCGACUCCUUCCGUGCCGAAGCUAACGCAUUAAGUGCCCCGCCUGGGGAGUACGGCCGCAAGGCUAAAACUUAAAGGAAUUGACGG